CUUUAAAUAAGCUAAAUUAAGCUAUCGGGCUCAUAACCCGAAUAUGGUAUACCUUUAAAGA
This 61-nucleotide transfer RNA is filed under the name Camaena poyuensis. RNAcentral describes it as "tRNA-Met". The record is from RNAcentral. Lineage: Eukaryota; Metazoa; Mollusca; Gastropoda; Stylommatophora; Camaenidae.